This 279-nucleotide ribosomal RNA is filed under the name uncultured Staphylococcus sp. RNAcentral describes it as "partial 16S ribosomal RNA". It matches the Rfam family "Bacterial small subunit ribosomal RNA", at positions 83 to 356 of the family's 1533-position model. The record is from RNAcentral. Lineage: Bacteria; Bacillati; Bacillota; Bacilli; Caryophanales; Staphylococcaceae.
CCUUCGACGUUAGCGGCGGACGGGUGAGUAACACGUGGGUAACCUACCUAUAAGACUGGGAUAACUUCGGGAAACCGGAGCUAAUACCGGAUAAUAUUUCGAACCGCAUGGUUCGAUAGUGAAAGGUGGUUUUGCUAUCACUUAUAGAUGGACCCGCGCCGUAUUAGCUAGUUGGUAAGGUAACGGCUUACCAAGGCGACGAUACGUAGCCGACCUGAGAGGGUGAUCGGCCACACUGGAACUGAGACACGGUCCAGACUCCUACGGGAGGCAGCAGCG